CACGUAGUUAGCCGUGACUUUCUGGUUAGGUACCGUCAAAGUCGAGACAGUUACUCCUCGACUUGUUCUUCUCUAAUAACAGAACUUUACGAUCCGAAGACCUUCUUCAUUCACGCGGCAUUGCUCCAUCAGGUUUGCACCCAUUGUGGAAGAUUCCCUACUGCUGCCUCCCGUAGGAGUCUGGGCCGUGUCUCAGUCCCAGUGUGGCCGAUCACCCUCUCAGGUCGGCUACGUAUCAUGGUCUUGGUAGGCCAUUACCCCACCAACUAACUAAUACGCCGCGGGAUCAUCUAAAAGCGACAGCAAAGCCGUCUUUCUUUCCAGAACCAUGCGGUUCAAGAAUCUAUGCGGUAUUAGCAUCCGUUUCCGAAUGUUAUCCCCCACUCUUAGGCAGAUUUCCCACGUGUUACUCACCCGUUCGCCACUCAUCCGCACUCUGCAAGCAGAGUGCUUCAGCGUUUCGACUUGCAUGUAUUAGGCAUGCCGCAGCGUUCUCCG
RNAcentral lists this ribosomal RNA (498 nucleotides) under uncultured Atopostipes sp. RNAcentral's name for it is "partial 16S ribosomal RNA". Lineage: Bacteria; Bacillati; Bacillota; Bacilli; Lactobacillales; Carnobacteriaceae. The record is from RNAcentral.